Mesocricetus auratus (golden hamster) is the source of this 499-nucleotide long non-coding RNA. RefSeq lists it as uncharacterized. NCBI's taxonomy places the organism in Eukaryota, Metazoa, Chordata, Mammalia, Rodentia, Cricetidae. The record is from RefSeq and is a predicted model, not a curated record. The transcript is spliced from 2 exons.
AUUCAUGAUACAUCCCCAGGGUGUGCUGACUCUGCUGACCCAGAAGGACUAAGACCCUUCUUAAAAACGGUUCUCCUUCUUCAGGGUGGCUGACUACCUGCUAUGAUGAUAAGAAGCUUUUUACAUCGUCGCCGUACCAGGAAAGAGCCGAUGGAAACCUAACACAGGAUGCAAGAUUGGCAUUAUCCUCAAACAAGCGAUGUAGUCGUAAAAUAGAACAUUUUUAUUUCCUUAACAAGCUCUUACUUAUGUUGUAGCUGCCUCCAUCCCAAAGAGUGGGGCUUUACUUUGUGCCUUGCGAAUACCUAAGGAAUGUCAAAAGUAUAAAGGAAUCUCAGCACUCAGCAUCCCCUGGCUGGGAGCACAGCCCACGGUACUGACGUUACUCAUUUGUUCCCGGCUAUCUAUAUUUAUCCUGUGAACUUUGAAUCACGUUAUUUUUAACAUAGCUACAACUUCCCCGAUAGCACCCAGCCUAAUAAAUACAGAUGGCUUCUUU